CCCCUCUCAGGAAUGCACCUGGAGAGUGUCCAGGACUCUACUAGUCUUGGCUACAGGAGGGAGAGUCAAGCAGAGGCCUACCCCUUCCAUUCCUAGCUUGGGCAGUGGCUAGCAAGUGGAAGGCAAUCUGCCCCAAGU
Molecule: small nucleolar RNA, 138 nt
Filed under: Ornithorhynchus anatinus (platypus)
Lineage: Eukaryota; Metazoa; Chordata; Mammalia; Monotremata; Ornithorhynchidae
Source: RNAcentral